Molecule: ribosomal RNA, 253 nt
Filed under: uncultured bacterium
Lineage: Bacteria
Description: partial 16S ribosomal RNA
Rfam family: Bacterial small subunit ribosomal RNA
Source: RNAcentral
UACAGAGGGGGCGAGCGUUGUUCGGAAUUAUUGGGCGUAAAGAGCUCGUAGGCGGUUUGUCGCGUCGGCCGUGAAAUCUCCACGCUUAACGUGGAGCGUGCGGUCGAUACGGGCAGACUUGAGUUCGGUAGGGGAGACUGGAAUUCCUGGUGUAGCGGUGAAAUGCGCAGAUAUCAGGAGGAACACCGGUGGCGAAGGCGGGUCUCUGGGCCGAUACUGACGCUGAGGAGCGAAAGCGUGGGGAGCGAACAGG